This is a long non-coding RNA of Drosophila montana, 180 nucleotides long. RefSeq lists it as uncharacterized. The record is from RefSeq and is a predicted model, not a curated record. The transcript is spliced from 2 exons. NCBI's taxonomy places the organism in Eukaryota, Metazoa, Arthropoda, Insecta, Diptera, Drosophilidae.
GGAACGCAGAUUAUUUAAGCUCAAACGCGAUGCGCUUAGAAUUAACUCGUCGAAACUUUUGGAUAAUUUCAUUUUGUCAGCGCGUUUUUUUUUUAGUUGCACUGCAACAGCUGAGUUGCUCAUGAUUUACAAUGGAAUGGAGCACAAUAAAGACUAGAUACACGUAAUUAAAGAGAGCAA